This 303-nucleotide ribosomal RNA is filed under the name uncultured bacterium. RNAcentral describes it as "partial 16S ribosomal RNA". It matches the Rfam family "Bacterial small subunit ribosomal RNA", at positions 507 to 809 of the family's 1533-position model. The record is from RNAcentral.
AGCAGUAGCCGCGGGAAUACGUAGGUGGCAAGCGUUGUCCGGAAUUAUUGGGCGUAAAGGGCUCGCAGGCGGUUUCUUAAGUCUGAUGUGAAAGCCCCCGGCUCAACCGGGGAGGGUCAUUGGAAACUGGGAAACUUGAGUGCAGAAGAGGAGAGUGGAAUUCCACGUGUAGCGGUGAAAUGCGUAGAGAUGUGGAGGAACACCAGUGGCGAAGGCGACUCUCUGGUCUGUAACUGACGCUGAGGAGCGAAAGCGUGGGGAGCGAACAGGAUUAGAUACCCCCGUAGUCCUGUCUCUUAUACA